UCUCUCUCACUGUCUCUCACUCAGGUAAAUAAAUAAAAUCUUUAAAAAAAAAAAAAAAAGAAAGGUGAUCUUUAUUCUUAGAUUUAAACAGCCAUGGCCACUGACUGUCCAGCUUUGGGUUAUCUCCAAAUCAAAAAAGAAAAGAAAGCUUAGUUGAAUUAAGUAACGUAAAUUGGCACAGUUGCUUGUCUACGUUAUUUGUUUUAAUACUUCUCUGCAAAUGGUAAUGAUCAUUUUCUUGGGAGAGCUUAAGUCUAGGAUAGCAGGUUCAAAUGCCUCCGGGGCCAGGCCUGUAAGUACCUUCUGGAGUUGCUGGAGUUGGUGGGAAGAAGACUUGGCAGGAGACGCUGGUGUACUCUACUCAAAGGUAUUUCCAUGCUCUCUUCGCUUUUUAAAGUGGUGGGUUCCUCAAACAAAACCAUUUGCCUCCCUAACAUUUGAGGCAGAGGGGCUAAAUUAAACUGAAUAUACAACAGUGGGUCUCCAGUGGCCUCUGCAGAAAGCAGGCACAGGAAUGGGAAUGACUGGAUUAGUUUGCUAAUGUAAAUUCUAAUUCACAGUUGGAAAUUUAACUCUGUAGGCCCAGGAACCCAUACUUUUAUGUGCAGACCAGUGUAUAUUUCUAAGAAUGUAUUGCUAAAAAUAUAUGAAGGAUCAUUAAAGUCAGUUGCACGUUUCAAAAAUGACCCAGAAAUGAUAACAAGUGACUGAAGAGGUAGUGUUUACUGAAAUGGGAGGUCAGAGGAGAGGCAAUCCUGGUGUUUAAUACUGGUUUGUUUUACACAUUCUAUUAUAUUUGUUCUCUUUGAGCUUUGCUUUUGUAAAAUUCAGACAGAGUGUGCAGUGGAGUUCAAGGAAAGGAAGUAAUCGUGAUUCUGUUCAGUAAAGAAUGCAUUUCAACUCGACUUUUUUUUCUACCUGACCUGUUUGUCUUGCUGUGGUUGUCUCUUCAGCUCUUCAGUUUGUCACUCUCAGACCGACCAUGACCACCAUCUAGCGUCCCCUCUCUCCUCUCCAGACUGCAGACGUCCAGGAGGAAGCUAUAGCAGCACAAAGACCUUGGGCAAGAACGAGAUGGCUUUGUCCACAGAACAGGAAGAAGGAACAUAUUCAAGAGAAAAGUAGAGAGCUUGCCAUUCAUUUGUCAAAAUGUGAAGUUACUUUCUUUUUCAUCACUUCAAAGAAGCUUGUAAAAUAUUUUUAAAAGGAAGGGCUAUAGAAUAGAAAGACUACAUGAUAGCAGGACUGUAGGACAGCAUGAUAAUUGAAACUACAUGAUCUGAAGUUUUUGUUUUUCCUUAGUGAGGCAUUCACACCCUUUUAAAAUUAAACCAGCAACUAACAGAACAGUAAUACCAAUGUAAAAAUGUUUUAAAAGUCAUCCCUUGCAAAACCUUAGUUUUAAGAUAUUAGCAGUCGCCACAGAAGUUUAUAUCCUGUUUUGUAUUUAAAGGCAAUUAUUGAUUCUAAUUGUAUUUGUUAAGAUUAUCUUUUCUUUUAUUUCAUUGUUUUAACAAGUUACAUGUUUAUCGUAGAGAUCUAAAGGUUUAAAAAUUUUAAAGAUGCUUUUCAUUUGAACUUUUAAAUAUACUGUAAUGUAGGUCCCUGUGAAAUGUGUUUAAAUUAUAAUUGAACCAAAAAUAUCUUGGGUGACUUGUCAAUUUAAAAUCCAUGAAAUUGAUAUAGUCAGAUUGUGAACUCUGAAGUUAAACUUCGGUUAUUUAGAAUUUUUAGAGAAUAAGAUGUCCAGAUUAAAACAAAUUUUUUGAGGAGUACA
Molecule: long non-coding RNA, 1777 nt
Organism: Mustela erminea (ermine)
Lineage: Eukaryota; Metazoa; Chordata; Mammalia; Carnivora; Mustelidae
Exons: 4
Source: RefSeq, a predicted model, not a curated record